Molecule: ribosomal RNA, 318 nt
Filed under: uncultured Clostridium sp.
Lineage: Bacteria; Bacillati; Bacillota; Clostridia; Eubacteriales; Clostridiaceae
Description: bacterial SSU rRNA
Rfam family: Bacterial small subunit ribosomal RNA
Source: RNAcentral
UGGGGAAUAUUGGGCAAUGGGCGAAAGCCUGACCCAGCAACGCCGCGUGAAGGAAGAAGGCCUUCGGGUUGUAAACUUCUUUUAAGAGGGACGAAGGACGUGACGGUACCUCUUGAAUAAGCCACGGCUAACUACGUGCCAGCAGCCGCGGUAAUACGUAGGUGGCGAGCGUUAUCCGGAUUUACUGGGUGUAAAGGGCGCGUAGGCGGGAAUGCAAGUCAGAUGUGAAAUCUAGGGGCUUAACCCCUAAACUGCAUUUGAAACUGUAUUUCUUGAGUGUCGGAGAGGUUGACGGAAUUCCUAGUGUGGCGGUGAAAU